CUACGGGGGGCAGCAGUGAGGAAUAUUGCACAAUGGGGGAAACCCUGAUGCAGCAACGCCGCGUGGAGGAUGACGCAUUUCGGUGUGUAAACUCCUUUUAUAUGUCAAGAAAAUGACGGUAGCAUAUGAAUAAGCACCGGCUAACUCCGUGCCAGCAGCCGCGGUAAUACGGAGGGUGCAAGCGUUAUUCGGAAUCACUGGGCGUAAAGGACGCGUAGGCGGGAUAGAAAGUCAGGUGUGAAAUCCUAUGGCUCAACCAUAGAACUGCACUUGAAACUUCUAACCUAGAGUAUGGGAGGGGGAGAUGGAAUUAGUGGUGUAGGGGUAAAAUCCGUAGAUAUCACUAGGAAUACCGAAAGCGAAGGCGAUCUCCUGGAACAAUACUGACGCUAAGGCGUGAAAGCGUGGGGAGCAAACAGGAUUAGAUACCCGGGUAGUC
RNAcentral lists this ribosomal RNA (439 nucleotides) under uncultured bacterium. Its description in RNAcentral is "partial 16S ribosomal RNA". It matches the Rfam family "Bacterial small subunit ribosomal RNA", at positions 339 to 795 of the family's 1533-position model. The record is from RNAcentral.